This 433-nucleotide ribosomal RNA is filed under the name uncultured bacterium. RNAcentral's name for it is "partial 16S ribosomal RNA". It matches the Rfam family "Bacterial small subunit ribosomal RNA", at positions 29 to 507 of the family's 1533-position model. The record is from RNAcentral.
AGCGAACGCUGGCGGCAGGCUUAACACAUGCAAGUCGAGCGGGCCCUUCGGGGUCAGCGGCAGACGGGUGAGUAACACGUGGGAACGUACCCUUUGGUUCGGAAUAACGCUGGGAAACUAGCGCUAAUACCGGAUACGCCCUUUUGGGGAAAGGCUUGCUGCCGAAGGAUCGGCCCGCGUCUGAUUAGCUAGUUGGUGGGGUAAUGGCCUACCAAGGCGACGAUCAGUAGCUGGUCUGAGAGGAUGCUCAGCCACACUGGGACUGAGACACGGCCCAGACUCCUACGGGAGGCAGCAGUGGGGAAUAUUGGACAAUGGGCGCAAGCCUGAUCCAGCCAUGCCGCGUGAGUGAUGAAGGCCUUAGGGUUGUAAAGCUCUUUUGUCCGGGACGAUAAUGACGGUACCGGAAGAAUAAGCCCCGGCUAACUUCGUG